GGUGAGUAACACGUGGGUAACCUGCCUGUAAGACUGGGAUAACUCCGGGAAACCGGAGCUAAUACCGGAUAGUUCCUUGAACCGCAUGGUUCAAGGAUGAAAGACGGUUUCGGCUGUCACUUACAGAUGGACCCGCGGCGCAUUAGCUAGUUGGUGAGGUAACGGCUCACCAAGGCGACGAUGCGUAGCCGACCUGAGAGGGUGAUCGGCCACACUGGGACUGAGACACGGCCCAGACUCCUACGGGAGGCAGCAGUAGGGAAUCUUCCGCAAUGGACGAAAGUCUGACGGAGCAACGCCGCGUGAGUGAUGAAGGUUUUCGGAUCGUAAAGCUCUGUUGUUAGGGAAGAACAAGUGCAAGAGUAACUGCUUGCACCUUGACGGUACCUAACCAGAAAGCCACGGCUAACUACGUGCCAGCAGCCGCGGUAAUACGUAGGUGGCAAGCGUUGUCCGGAAUUAUUGGGCGUAAAGGGCUCGCAGGCGGUUUCUUAAGUCUGAUGUGAAAGCCCCCGGCUCAACCGGGGAGGGUCAUUGGAAACUGGGAAACUUGAGUGCAGAAGAGGAGAGUGGAAUUCCACGUGUAGCGGUGAAAUGCGUAGAGAUGUGGAGGAACACCAGUGGCGAAGGCGACUCUCUGGUCUGUAACUGACGCUGAGGAGCGAAAGCGUGGGGAGCGAACAGGAUUAGAUACCCUGGUAGUCCACGCCGUAAACGAUGAGUGCUAAGUGUUAGGGGGUUUCCGCCCCUUAGUGCUGCAGCUAACGCAUUAAGCACUCCGCCUGGGGAGUACGGUCGCAAGACUGAAACUCAAAGGAAUUGACGGGGGCCCGCACAAGCGGUGGAGCAUGUGGUUUAAUUCGAAGCAACGCGAAGAACCUUACCAGGUCUUGACAUCCUCUGACAACCCUAGAGAUAGGGCUUUCCCUUCGGGGACAGAGUGACAGGUGGUGCAUGGUUGUCGUCAGCUCGUGUCGUGAGAUGUUGGGUUAAGUCCCGCAACGAGCGCAACCCUUGAUCUUAGUUGCCAGCAUUCAGUUGGGCACUCUAAGGUGACUGCCGGUGACAAACCGGAGGAAGGUGGGGAUGACGUCAAAUCAUCAUGCCCCUUAUGACCUGGGCUACACACGUGCUACAAUGGACAGAACAAAGGGCUGCGAGACCGCAAGGUUUAGCCAAUCCCACAAAUCUGUUCUCAGUUCGGAUCGCAGUCUGCAACUCGACUG
This 1226-nucleotide ribosomal RNA is filed under the name Bacillus sp. (in: firmicutes). Its description in RNAcentral is "bacterial SSU rRNA". It matches the Rfam family "Bacterial small subunit ribosomal RNA", at positions 105 to 1318 of the family's 1533-position model. The record is from RNAcentral. Lineage: Bacteria; Bacillati; Bacillota; Bacilli; Caryophanales; Bacillaceae.